RNAcentral lists this ribosomal RNA (164 nucleotides) under uncultured bacterium. RNAcentral's name for it is "partial 16S rRNA". It matches the Rfam family "Bacterial small subunit ribosomal RNA", at positions 355 to 510 of the family's 1533-position model. The record is from RNAcentral.
UAGGGAAUCUUCCACAAUGGGCGAAAGCCUGAUGGAGCAACGCCGCGUGUGUGAUGAAGGCUUUUCGGGUCGUAAAGCACUGUUGUAUGGGAAGAACAGCUAGAAUAGGAAAUGAUUUUAGUUUGACGGUACCAUACCAGAAAGGGACGGCUAAACACGUGCCA